UGGGGGAUAUUGCACAAUGGGCGAAAGCCUGAUGCAGCGACGCCGCGUGGGGGAUGAAGGCUUUCGGGUUGUAAACCUCUUUCGCUAUCGAACAAGGCCCGCUUAGGGUGGGUUGAGGGUAGGUGGAGAAGAAGCGCCGGCUAACUACGUGCCAGCAGCCGCGGUAAUACGUAGGGCGCGAGCGUUGUCCGGAAUUAUUGGGCGUAAAGGGCUUGUAGGCGGCUUGUUGCGCCUGCUGUGAAAACGCGGGGCUUAACUUCGCGCGUGCAGUGGGUACGGGCAGGCUUGAGGUAUGGAAGGGAAAGUGGAAUUCCUAGUGUAGCGGUGAAAUGCGCAGAUAUUAGGAGGAAUACCGGUGGCGAAGGCGACUUUCUGGCCAUAACCUGACGCUGAGGUACGAAAGCGUGGGUAGCAAACAGG
This 420-nucleotide ribosomal RNA is filed under the name bacterium. RNAcentral's name for it is "partial 16S ribosomal RNA". It matches the Rfam family "Bacterial small subunit ribosomal RNA", at positions 355 to 776 of the family's 1533-position model. The record is from RNAcentral.